GACGAACGCUGGCGGCGUGCUUAACACAUGCAAGUCGAACGGAAAGGCCAUGCUCUUGUGGGGUGCUCGAGUGGCGAACGGGUGAGUAACACGUGAGUAACCUGCCCUUGACUUUGGGAUAACUUCAGGAAACUGGGGCUAAUACCGGAUAGGAGCUCCUGAUGCAUGGUGGGGGUUGGAAAGUUUCGGCGGUUGGGGAUGGACUCGCGGCUUAUCAGCUUGUUGGUGGGGUAGUGGCUUACCAAGGCUUUGACGGGUAGCCGGCCUGAGAGGGUGACCGGCCACAUUGGGACUGAGAUACGGCCCAGACUCCUACGGGAGGCAGCAGUGGGGAAUAUUGCACAAUGGGCGGAAGCCUGAUGCAGCAACGCCGCGUGCGGGAUGACGGCCUUCGGGUUGUAAACCGCUUUCGCCUGUGACGAAGCGUGAGUGACGGUAAUGGGUAAAGAAGCACCGGCUAACUACGUG
Molecule: ribosomal RNA, 468 nt
Filed under: uncultured bacterium
Lineage: Bacteria
Description: partial 16S ribosomal RNA
Rfam family: Bacterial small subunit ribosomal RNA
Source: RNAcentral